GAUGAAGAACGUAGCGAAAUGCGAUACGUAAUGUGAAUUGCAGAAUUCAGUGAAUCAUCGAGUCUUUGAACGCACAUUGCGCCCCCUGGAAUUCCGGGGGGCAUGCCUGUUCGAGCGUCUCAGGGACGAACCCUCGCGCGGGUGUACGCGCGGUCGUGGCUGCGGUGGCGUGCCCGAGGCGGCGGCCACCGCGCUGGAAUCCAUGGGCGGACGCCUGCCGCGUGGCCGAGCGUGAUAUGACGCAUUGGCGCUCGCACGCGGCGAGGCUGCCAGCCCUGGCCCGUCUGUCGGGCGGGGGAGAGCAAGACACGUGAACUCCUCGAAUCAGGUAGGGAUACCCGCUGAACUUAAGCAUAUCAAUAAGCGGAGGA
This 371-nucleotide unclassified non-coding RNA is filed under the name soil metagenome. Its description in RNAcentral is "partial contains 5.8S ribosomal RNA, internal transcribed spacer 2, and large subunit ribosomal RNA". The stretch from base 1 to 120 matches the Rfam family "5.8S ribosomal RNA", at positions 35 to 154 of the family's 154-position model. The record is from RNAcentral.